RNAcentral lists this long non-coding RNA (202 nucleotides) under Elaeis guineensis (African oil palm). RNAcentral describes it as "long non-coding RNA (EGUI_LNC075832)". Lineage: Eukaryota; Viridiplantae; Streptophyta; Magnoliopsida; Arecales; Arecaceae. The record is from RNAcentral.
GUCGUUAGGACACCGUAAUUAUCAAUCUAAUUUUGAUUUUAAUAAAAAUUAAAAAUAUAUAGAAAGUAGUGAGUCAGGUUGAAUCCACAGAGAAGAUAGAAUUUUGAUUUAAAAUUUUUGAUUUUAGAAAAAAAAAAUAAAGUUUCAAAGAAAGUAAUUUUAGUCAAAAAAUAAAAAAUAAAAAUAUGAAAAAUAAAUAUGG